This 459-nucleotide ribosomal RNA is filed under the name uncultured bacterium. RNAcentral's name for it is "partial 16S ribosomal RNA". It matches the Rfam family "Bacterial small subunit ribosomal RNA", at positions 339 to 795 of the family's 1533-position model. The record is from RNAcentral.
CUACGGGUCGCUGCAGUGAGGAAUAUUGGUCAAUGGACGCAAGUCUGAACCAGCCAUGCCGCGUGCAGGAUGACGGCCCUAUGGGUUGUAAACUGCUUUUAUUAAGGAAUAAACCCCAUUACGUGUAAUGGGCUGAACGUACUUAAAGAAUAAGCAUCGGCUAACUCCGUGCCAGCAGCCGCGGUAAUACGGAGGAUGCAAGCGUUAUCCGGACUCAUUGGGUUUAAAGGGUUCGCAGGCGGCGUAUUAAGUCAGUGGUGAAAUCCCCCGGCUCAACCGGGGAACUGCCAUUGAUACUGGUAUGCUAGAGUAUAGUUGGCGUAGGCGGAAUAUUUCAUGUAGCGGUGAAAUGCUUAGAUAUGAAAUAGAACACCGAUCGCGAAGGCAGCUUACGAAACUAUAACUGACGCUCAGGAACGAAAGCGUGGGGAGCGAACAGGAUUAGAUACCCUGGUAGUC